Molecule: ribosomal RNA, 117 nt
Filed under: uncultured bacterium
Lineage: Bacteria
Description: partial 16S ribosomal RNA
Rfam family: Bacterial small subunit ribosomal RNA
Source: RNAcentral
CGUUCUCGGGGAUUGUACACACCGCCCGUCACGUCACGAAAGUCGGCAACACCCGAAGUCAGUGGCCCAACCCUUUUUGGGAGGGAGCUGCCGAAGGUGGGGUCGGUAAUUGGGACG